Molecule: ribosomal RNA, 425 nt
Filed under: uncultured bacterium
Lineage: Bacteria
Description: partial 16S ribosomal RNA
Rfam family: Bacterial small subunit ribosomal RNA
Source: RNAcentral
GUGGGGAAUCUUGCGCAAUGGGCGAAAGCCUGACGCAGCCAUGCCGCGUGGAUGAUGAAGGUCUUAGGAUUGUAAAAUCCUUUCACCGGUGAAGAUAAUGACUGUAGCCGGAGAAGAAGCCCCGGCUAACUUCGUGCCAGCAGCCGCGGUAAUACGAAGGGGGCUAGCGUUGCUCGGAUUUACUGGGCGUAAAGGGCGCGUAGGCGGACAGCUUAGUCAGAGGUGAAAGCCCAGGGCUCAACCUUGGAAUUGCCUUUGAUACUGGCUGUCUUGAGUUUGGGAGAGGUGAGUGGAACUCCGAGUGUAGAGGUGAAAUUCGUAGAUAUUCGGAAGAACACCAGUGGCGAAGGCGACUCACUGGCCCAAUACUGACGCUGAGGCGCGAAAGCGUGGGGAGCAAACAGGAUUAGAUACCCCGGUAGUCC